UACGUAUGGUGCAAGCGUUAUCCGGAUUUACUGGGUGUAAAGGGAGCGUAGGCGGCGCGUUAAGUCUGAUGUGAAAACCCGAGGCUCAACCACGGGAGUGCAUUGGAAACUGGCGGGCUGGAGUGCCGGAGAGGUAAGCGGAAUUCCUAGUGUAGCGGUGAAAUGCGUAGAUAUUAGGAGGAACACCAGUGGCGAAGGCGGCUUACUGGACCGUAACUGACGUUGAGGCUCGAAAGCGUGGGGAGCAAACAGG
This 253-nucleotide ribosomal RNA is filed under the name uncultured bacterium. RNAcentral describes it as "partial 16S ribosomal RNA". It matches the Rfam family "Bacterial small subunit ribosomal RNA", at positions 524 to 776 of the family's 1533-position model. The record is from RNAcentral.